RNAcentral lists this ribosomal RNA (301 nucleotides) under uncultured bacterium. Its description in RNAcentral is "partial 16S ribosomal RNA". It matches the Rfam family "Bacterial small subunit ribosomal RNA", at positions 509 to 807 of the family's 1533-position model. The record is from RNAcentral.
CAGCCGCCGCGGGAAUACGUAGGUGGCAAGCGUUGUCCGGAAUUAUUGGGCGUAAAGGGCUCGCAGGCGGUUUCUUAAGUCUGAUGUGAAAGCCCCCGGCUCAACCGGGGGGGGUCAUUGGAAACUGGGAAACUUGAGUGCAGAAGAGGAGAGUGGAAUUCCACGUGUAGCGGUGAAAUGCGUAGAGAUGUGGAGGAACACCAGUGGCGAAGGCGACUCUCUGGUCUGUAACUGACGCUGAGAAGCGAAAGCGUGGGGAGCGAACAGGAUUAGAUACCCGAGUAGUCCCUGUCUCUUAUAC